GCCUGUGUAAUGAAGCCUCCAUAAAAACCCAAAAGGACGGGGUUCGGAGAGCUUGCAGGUUAGUGAAGCCGUGAAGGUGCUGAGCGGUGCGCCUGGGGAGGGCGUGGAAGCUCUGUGCCCCUCCCCUUCCCUCGCCCUAUGCAUCUCUUCCACGUGGCUGUUCCCGAGUUAUGUCCUUUUAUAAUAAACCAGUGACCUGUUGUGCUCUGCCCAAGGGUGCCAGGCUGGGGAGCAAGUGGAGGCUGAAAUCUUCAGGACAGCAUCUCUCAGAGGGGCCAGCAUUCUCACAAAGGAUCCCAUCCAGGAUGCCACGGCACAUUUUGUUCUCCUCUUGGCUAUGAUCAUGUUUAUGGUGACCUUGACAGUUUUGAGGAGUACAGGUCAGAUAUUAGGUAGAACGUUCCUCAAUUGAGAUUUGUCUGAUGUUUUUGUCAUAAUUAUACUGGGACGACGGGUUAUGGGGAGACAGAUCACAGAGGUAAAUGCCAUAUUCAUCACAUUAUACCAAGAGUUUAUGAUUUAUAAUUUGAUUUGAUGUAAGAUUAUUGGUUUUGAUUUGGGUCACCUGGCUGAGAUAGUGUUUGUCAGGUUCUCCACAAUAAAAUUACUCUUUUCCCCCCAUUUUGAUACUGUACUAUUUAGAAAGGAGUCAGUAUACACAGCCCACACUUAAGGAGUGAGGAAUUAUGCCCUUGUUACUUUUUGAGGUUAUUGUAUUUAUUCGUUUGAUUAUGUGUUUUGGAUGACUGUUUCUGGGCUAACCGAUAGCCAUUCUCAGCUUCCUUCUUUCCUGCUCCUUCCAAGUAGAUGCAGGAAGGUCAGGUGCCUAUUUUCCUCAUCUCCUUCCUGACAAUGACACAGAAGGAAGUCAGUCUUCUGGUAUGUUUUGGGGAAGGCUUUUACUUUCCUCACAAAAGAGGUACAUACUGUUGUUCUACUGUUUCCUUCUUCUUUCUGCUUUGAAAAUGGAAUUCUGGAGCUGCUGUGGCCAUUUUGUGACUAUGAGCGACAAGCAUGAUGUCAAAAAGUCAACGUGAUAAAGAUACCAGAGCAGAAAUACAGAAAGAUCCCGGAUCCUUGAUGGCAACUGGUGCCAGCAACCACCUACCUUUGGACUUCAUGUCGUGUGAGAAGACUUUAAGCCACUGCUAGUGGGGUUUCUAGUUUUUGCAGCUCAAAGUAUUCUUAACUAAGAUAUUUCUUUCAUACUUUCUUCUAAAAAUGAAGUUCUCUAAGGACAGAGACCUUGUCUGUCUUGUUUAUUGUUCUGUUUCCAGUGGCUAACAUAUAGUAGAUACUCAGUAUGUUCUUGUUGAACGAAUGAAGAGAUGAAUGAUAGUUUAAGGAGAGGUAGGGUCUCAGGAAAGAUUUUUUUAAGAGUUAGGGAGACCAUGGCAUAUUCGUAGGAUAAUGAGAAGGCACCAGAUGAGAGAAAGAGA
Diceros bicornis minor is the source of this 1439-nucleotide long non-coding RNA. RefSeq lists it as uncharacterized. The record is from RefSeq and is a predicted model, not a curated record. NCBI's taxonomy places the organism in Eukaryota, Metazoa, Chordata, Mammalia, Perissodactyla, Rhinocerotidae. The transcript is spliced from 3 exons.